UGGGGAAUUUUGGACAAUGGGGGAAACCCUGAUCCAGCCAUCCCGCGUGUGCGAUGAAGGCCUUCGGGUUGUAAAGCACUUUUGGCAGGAAAGAAACGUCAUGGGUUAAUACCCCGUGAAACUGACGGUACCUGCAGAAUAAGCACCGGCUAACUACGUGCCAGCAGCCGCGGUAAUACGUAGGGUGCAAGCGUUAAUCGGAAUUACUGGGCGUAAAGCGUGCGCAGGCGUUUCGGAAAGAAAGAUGUGAAAUCCCAGAGCUCAACUUUGGAACUGCAUUUUUAACUACCGGGCUAGAGUGUGUCAGAGGGAGGUGGAAUUCCGCGUGUAGCAGUGAUAUGCGUAGAUAUGCGGAGGAACACCGAUGGCGAAGGCAGCCUCCUGGGAUAACACUGACGCUCAUGCACGAAAGCGUGGGGAGCAAACAGG
Molecule: ribosomal RNA, 429 nt
Filed under: Acidobacteriota bacterium
Lineage: Bacteria; Pseudomonadati; Acidobacteriota
Description: Acidobacteria bacterium partial 16S ribosomal RNA
Rfam family: Bacterial small subunit ribosomal RNA
Source: RNAcentral